CCCCCCCCCCUUACUAUGUUUAUCCUCUCUUCUUCUUCUUCUUCCUUACCUUCUCCUCUCUCUCUCUCUUCCUCUAGGGUUUCUCUCUCUCCUCCCUCCUCCUCUUCUCUCACUCUCCUCCCCCUUUCUCCCCACUUCCAACCUCCCAACCUCGCCUGCUCCUGCUCCGUUGCUUCCAGAUCAACGGCGGAGCUUCUGCACGACUUCAAGCACUCCGCUCAUACCGCUGCCUCCGCUGAUGAAACGAGGAAUCACCUGCCGCAUUCCCGCGCAUUCCUUGAUGUUCGCUCUGAACAAGAGUUGCUCUCCUACAUCAGGAGGGAGGCAGAAGCUGGAAGGCUGCCUUCAAAUGUUGCUGCAGGAAUGGAAGAAUUGUAUCAGAAUUAUAAAAAUGCCGUUCUUAAGAGUGGAAAUCCAAAGGCAGAUGAAAUUGUUUUGUCUAACAUGACUGUUGCAUUAGAUCGCAUAUUGCUGGAUGUGGAGGAACCUUUUGUCUUCUCACCACACCACAAAGCAGUUCGAGAGCCUUUUGAUUACUACACGUUUGGUCAGAACUAUGUCCGUCCACUGAUUGAUUUUGAAAAUUCAUUUGUUGGUAACCCUUUUCUUUUCAAGGAUAUAGAGGAGAAGCUCCAUCAGGGUCACAAUGUUGUCUUGAUAUCAAAUCAUCAGACUGAAGCAGAUCCAGCUAUUAUUUCAUUGUUGCUUGAAAAGACAAGUCCAUAUAUUGCUGAAAACAUGAUAUAUGUAGCUGGGGAUAGAGUUAUUGUAGACCCUCUUUGCAAGCCCUUCAGCAUUGGAAGAAAUCUUAUUUGUGUUUAUUCAAAAAAGCACAUGUUUGAUAUUCCCGAGCUUGCAGAAACAAAAAGGAAAGCAAACACACGAAGUCUAAAGGAGAUGGCUUUACUUUUAAGGGGUGGAUCGCAACUCAUUUGGAUUGCACCAAGUGGUGGCCGGGACCGAUUGGAUCCAUCAUCUGGAGAAUGGUCACCAGCACCCUUUGAUGCUUCUUCAAUGGACAACAUGAGAAGGCUCAUUCAACACUCGGGUGUUCCUGGGCAUUUGUGUCCCCUUGCUUUAUUAUGUUAUGACAUCAUGCCACCUCCUUCAAAGGUAGAAAUUGAAAUUGGAGAAAAAAGAGUGAUUUCCUUUAAUGGGGUGGGCUUGUCUUUGGCUCCUGCAAUCAGCUUCGAGGCCAUUGCUGCUACCCACAGAAAUCCUGAUGAGGCUAGGGAGGCAUACUCAAAGGCUCUGUUUGAUUCUGUGUCCAUGCAAUAUAAUGUGCUCAAAGCUGCUAUUUACGGCAGACAAGCACUAAGAGCAUCAACUGCAGAUGUCUCUUUGUCGCAACCUUGGAUCUAGUCAUUUGCAAUCGUUUUUCUAGAUCAGUUCAUUAUAUAAUCAGGUCAUGACAUAAUUUGACACAAUUUUGCGACUCACAGAACAACACUGGUCAUUCAAUUCGUGCACGAACUGUAAGAGGAAAUCAAUUCUGUCACUCGUCAUCGACGUCUCGAGGGAAUUUUGCUGAUUUACAGGCCUGUCCCUACCCCAAGGCAUGUGCAUUUCAAUAGACAUUGAAGCUGCCUCAAAUACUUGGCCUCUUGAUGUAUGAGAGAGAAGAAAGAACGAGUCUCUCAAUCCGUAUCGAAAUUCAGAUUUCAUCCUUUGCCAUAUUGUGCUAGACGUUUGAUUCAUCUUCUUACCACGACCUACUGAUGGCAAAGGCAAACAUAACGGAAUGACUAUUGCAAACCCAAUACAAUACAAAAAGUUGAUUAGUUGCAGGUGCGCUUUUUAUGUAUUUCAAUCACGCUUACUAUAAGUUGAAUUAUACAUCAAUUUUAUAACUAAGACCUUUUGAACA
Molecule: RNA transcript, 1867 nt
Organism: Cucurbita pepo subsp. pepo (vegetable marrow)
Lineage: Eukaryota; Viridiplantae; Streptophyta; Magnoliopsida; Cucurbitales; Cucurbitaceae
Gene name: glycerol-3-phosphate acyltransferase ATS11, chloroplastic
Source: RefSeq, a predicted model, not a curated record